This 26-nucleotide small RNA is filed under the name Bombyx mori (domestic silkworm). Its description in RNAcentral is "ovarian small RNA-14115". Lineage: Eukaryota; Metazoa; Arthropoda; Insecta; Lepidoptera; Bombycidae. The record is from RNAcentral.
CGAACGCAGCGGACCGCACGGUGACA